UACGGGGGGAGCAAGCGUUGUUCGGAUUUACUGGGCGUAAAGGGCGCGUAGGCGGCCACCGCAAGUCGACUGUGAAAUCUCCGGGCUUAACCCGGAAAGGUCAGCCGAUACUGCGGGGCUAGAGUGCAGAAGGGGCAACUGGAAUUCUCGGUGUAGCGGUGAAAUGCGUAGAUAUCAGGAGGAACACCGAUGGCGAAGGCAGGUCUCUGGGCCACUACUGACGCUGAGAAGCGAAAGCAUGGGGAGCGAACAGG
Molecule: ribosomal RNA, 254 nt
Filed under: uncultured bacterium
Lineage: Bacteria
Description: partial 16S ribosomal RNA
Rfam family: Bacterial small subunit ribosomal RNA
Source: RNAcentral